CUCUCGUGAAAACGCGCUAGGAAAACAAUCAUGGACGACGCUUUGGCGUUGCGGCGAUACUGCUGUGCUGUCUGGCUGAUCAUGGGCAACGACGAUGGUGACAUUUUGGCAGCACUUACGAUGUACAAGUCAGAAACCGGGGACGACAACGACGAGAGACAACGACAAUGAAGAUGGUGGGUCAGGUCAUGAUUGCCGUGUGGUGCGGGGAUGCUGUGAGAACCUCGAGAAGACCAUGAUAACUAUUGGCGAUGAACCUGGGCACACAUGUGAGGAGCUUCUCCAUUCCGUGAUACUGUUGAAGCAGGUCACGCCCUUCCGUCUCGUGACUGAACCCAGAGAAAGGCUGCCCAUCACGUUCAGGUACCUCGCUACAGGUGAAACAGACCAGAGGACAUCGCACAAAACUGAGACGGCACAGGAGGCUCUCUGGCCACUUAUCAAAGUUAGUUGCAAAUGUUCAUCUGAUGCAACCGCAUUCAAGCACAUUCAAGCCACAUUUCUUUAAUGAAGAUGUAGUGAGUGGUCGAGGCUUUGCUGCAAGACAAGUUACAAGCUGCAGCCACAAAAACAGGUGCAAAUAAAUUGUCUGAAACAGC
Molecule: long non-coding RNA, 599 nt
Organism: Ornithodoros turicata
Lineage: Eukaryota; Metazoa; Arthropoda; Arachnida; Ixodida; Argasidae
Exons: 2
Source: RefSeq, a predicted model, not a curated record